Molecule: ribosomal RNA, 433 nt
Filed under: uncultured bacterium
Lineage: Bacteria
Description: partial 16S ribosomal RNA
Rfam family: Bacterial small subunit ribosomal RNA
Source: RNAcentral
AACGAACGCUGGCGGCAUGCCUAACACAUGCAAGUCGAACGAGACCUUCGGGUCUAGUGGCGCACGGGUGCGUAACGCGUGGGAACCUGCCCUUAGGUUCGGAAUAACUCCCCGAAAGGGGUGCUAAUACCGGUUAAUGUCUUCGGACCAAAGAUGUAUCGCCUUUGGAUGGGCCCUCGUUGGAUUAGCUAGUUGGUAGGGUAAAAGCAUACCAAGGCGACGAUCCAUAGCUGGUCUGAGAGGAUGAUCAGCCACACUGGGACUGAGACACGGCCCAGACUCCUACGGGAGGCAGCAGUGGGGAAUAUUGGACGAUGGGCGAAAGACUGAUCCGGCAAUGCCGCGUGAGUGAUGAAGGCCUUAGGGUUGUAAAGCUCUUUUAACCGGGAUGAUAAUGACAGUACCGGGAGAAUAAGCUCCGGCUAACUACGUG